GUCCAAGCUUUGUUUUAUUUUGGCGGCUACAGACGGAGCGGAGAGCUGCUGGACCUUCAGACCAGAAGCAGAAUGGAGGAGCAGAACCAGAACCAGGACCAGAACCCCACGAGGAGGAACAAAGCGGGACCAUCCUUUGAUACCACCGGUCGGCAGUAAAAGUUUGUUCUGAAGGAGUGCUACGUU
Melanotaenia boesemani (Boeseman's rainbowfish) is the source of this 186-nucleotide long non-coding RNA. RefSeq lists it as uncharacterized. NCBI's taxonomy places the organism in Eukaryota, Metazoa, Chordata, Actinopteri, Atheriniformes, Melanotaeniidae. The record is from RefSeq and is a predicted model, not a curated record. The transcript has 4 exons.